UAUGUGAUCGUCUCUCGCAUAUCAAUAAGCGGAGGAAAAGAAACUAACAAGGAUUCCCCUAGUAACGGCGAGUGAAGCGGGAAGAGCUCAAAUUUGAAAUCUUAAAGGGUUUCCCUUUACGAAUUGUAGUUUAAAGAAGUGUUUUCUGUUGAGGUUUUGGUAAAAGUUCUUUGGAAUAGGACAUCAUAGAGGGUGAGAAUCCCGUAUUUGACCUUUACUUUCAACUUUGUGAUACACUUUCAAGAGAGUCGGAUUGUUUGGGAAUGCAGUCCAAAAUGGGUGGUAAAUUUCAUCUAAAGCUAAAUAUUGGCGAGAGACCGAUAGCGAACAAGUACCGUGAGGGAAAGAUGAAAAGAACUUUGAAAAGAGAGUUAAACAGUACGUGAAAUUGUCAAAAGGGAAGCGUUUGACACCAGUGUUGUUUUUCUGAAAAGUCAAUUAAAGAACUGUUUAUGCUAAGCUUGUUUAGACUUUAUCAGCUAUCUGUUUAGUUUUGAGCUUUUCUUUAAUGCACUUUUCAGUUAACAAGUCAACAUCAAUUUCUUUUGCUGUAAAAGAAGCUUGAGGAAGGUGGCUUGAGAUUCGUCUUAAGUGUUUAUAGCCUCUUGCCUAUGCAGUCGGAGAGAUUGAGGUCUGCAGCGUAGAUCCUUCGGGGCUAAACGCAUUUGUGCUAAGUUAUAGCAUUUUAUAGACAACUUGUUGACUAUGAUUUGUCUUGUAGCUUACUCGCUUAUGUUAUUUUACCUACGCUUAGGAUGUUGAGUCGUAGAGCACGCAG
Molecule: ribosomal RNA, 778 nt
Filed under: uncultured Neocallimastigales
Lineage: Eukaryota; Fungi; Neocallimastigomycota; Neocallimastigomycetes; Neocallimastigales
Description: partial large subunit ribosomal RNA
Rfam family: Eukaryotic large subunit ribosomal RNA
Source: RNAcentral